RNAcentral lists this ribosomal RNA (439 nucleotides) under Escherichia coli. Its description in RNAcentral is "partial 23S ribosomal RNA". It matches the Rfam family "Bacterial large subunit ribosomal RNA", at positions 2492 to 2925 of the family's 2925-position model. The record is from RNAcentral. Lineage: Bacteria; Pseudomonadati; Pseudomonadota; Gammaproteobacteria; Enterobacterales; Enterobacteriaceae.
CCAAGAGUUCAUAUCGACGGCGGUGUUUGGCACCUCGAUGUCGGCUCAUCACAUCCUGGGGCUGAAGUAGGUCCCAAGGGUAUGGCUGUUCGCCAUUUAAAGUGGUACGCGAGCUGGGUUUAGAACGUCGUGAGACAGUUCGGUCCCUAUCUGCCGUGGGCGCUGGAGAACUGAGGGGGGCUGCUCCUAGUACGAGAGGACCGGAGUGGACGCAUCACUGGUGUUCGGGUUGUCAUGCCAAUGGCACUGCCCGGUAGCUAAAUGCGGAAGAGAUAAGUGCUGAAAGCAUCUAAGCACGAAACUUGCCCCGAGAUGAGUUCUCCCUGACUCCUUGAGAGUCCUGAAGGAACGUUGAAGACGACGACGUUGAUAGGCCGGGUGUGUAAGCGCAGCGAUGCGUUGAGCUAACCGGUACUAAUGAACCGUGAGGCUUAACCUU